AUCCCAGUUCGGAUUGCAGGCUGCAACCCGCCUGUAUGAAGUUGGAAUCGCUAGUAAUCGCGGAUCAGCAUGCCGCGGUGAAUACGUUCCCGGGCCUUGUACACACCGCCCGUCACACCAUGAGAGUCGGGAACACCCGAAGUCCGUAGCCUAACCGCAAGGAGGGCGCGGCCGAAGGUGGGUUCGAUAAUUGGGGUGAAGUCGUAACAAGGUACC
This 216-nucleotide ribosomal RNA is filed under the name uncultured bacterium. Its description in RNAcentral is "partial 16S ribosomal RNA". It matches the Rfam family "Bacterial small subunit ribosomal RNA", at positions 1285 to 1500 of the family's 1533-position model. The record is from RNAcentral.